UAAAAACAUCAUCAGACGGACAAAAAGGGCCAUGAUACAAAAAAAUAGGUCAAAAACUCCUGCUCUACAUGAUGUCAUGGAAUUGCACACUGCAUUUGAGGCUCUUCAUAGACUGAUGGAGUUAAUUCAAUUAAAUUCACACAAUCAACAUUUAUCAAGUGCCUGCCAUGAGCUAGGCUCUGAGGACACAAAGAUGAAGAGAGGACAAAAGAAAAGUUUUCUCUGAUUUCAAAAAGCUUAAAAUCUAACCUGGGGAACCUGUAAAUACAUAAAUAAAUUCAAAGUUGUGAUGAAGAGUAGAGACUGAGGAGAGGUUUCAUAGACUUUAGCCCCUCUUCGAGGAAGAUAGGGAAUCUGAAAGGCAGACUUGAGAAGGCUAUGUGGGCAGCAUAUUCUAGCUAUGCAGGACAGUGUGUACGAAUGCAUGGAGGCAAGAGAUGGAGGGUGGACAAGUCCAGCCUGGCCAGAACAUAAUGUUACUCCUUAAAAAGCCCUGGAAGGCAUUUUUCUAAGGGCAGAGAAAAUUCAGCACUUGGCAACAUGUCUCUGGGAGAUCUAAGAACUUAAUGAGUCUUAAAAGGACAUUGAUACUUCCUCCCCUUUUCCCCCUCUUGUUUUGGAAGAUCUCAUGUGCAAAGGAGAAAAGUGAAGAGAAAUUCUGGGCCCCUAAUCUGAGAGAUGAUCACUGAAGCACAAGAUGCAGCCAGAGUUAAGCUGCUACUGAGCAUUCCUUGGAGCUACCUCUGCCUAUUCUGAGUUGGGAUAGAAUGGGCCUAAAAAAAAGAAGACAAUGGAAGCUUCCUCUGACCUGAUUAGUUGACUGAGCAACUAAGAAGAUGAAGGGCUUGGACUGAGAAAUCUGACUAGUUCAAAGGCCCAAAAAACAUCCACAUGUCUUACAUCAUCCUUGGAAAGCACUCCAACAAAGGGGAGUCAUCAGUGGCAGUCUUUCAGGAAGACCCUGCACCCCUGGGCCUUGCCAUCAGCCUGCUGCCAUCCCGGUCCUGACCCGCUCCUGCACCCAAGAAGUCCAGGGCUUUCCUCAGGUCCUGCAGCUCGGCCGCCCGUGAAGGAUCUUAGAGAUGAAUAAGAUCUUGUGAGAUCUGGGAGCUGGAAUCUAUAAUAGGACUUGCCAAAAGCCAGAGAAGCAUCUGCCCAUCCAGUCCUGAGCAGGUGAGAUACACCCUCAUCCAUCCAUUGGCUAUACCACAUUAGGAAGUGAACCCAGUAGAGCAAAUUUGAUAAGGAAAUCACUUUAAGUCCAAGCUCACUCUCCCAAGACCAACCAUAAAUGGUGGGAGAAAAUGUUUAUAACUGCUUUUCUUGUUUAUCUUCACAAUAAAUAUCCUUAAUAAAAGCUAACAUAUUUAUUGUUUAAAUAAAAUUGGGACACUAAAAGUGGUUUUGGCUAUACCGCUUCAGGAAGUGAACCCAGUAAAGCAAAUUGAUAAGGAAAUCACUUUUAAGUUUGAGCUCACUCUCCCAAGAGCAACCAUGAGUGUUGAGGGAAAAUAUUUAUAAAUGUCUUUCUUGUUUAUCUUUGCAAUAAGUAUCCCUAAUAAAAGCUAACUGAUGUUCACUGUUUAAAUAAAAUCAGGACACUAAAGUUGUUCAGUCAUGUCUGACACUUCAUGACCCCAUUUGGGGUUUUCUUGGCAAAGACACUCCAGGAAUUCUCUCUGGCUCUCCCCAAAGCCUAGAGUGCUUGCCCUCCUCUGCACCAACUACUGACCUCCCUGGCCUUUUAAGUCACAACUAAAAUCCCACCUCGAACAGGAAGGAAGUUUCCCAAAUCCUUUUAAUUCCAGUGCCUUCCCUCCAUUAAUGAUUUUCUAUUUGUCCUAUAUCUAGCCUCCUUGUAUAUAUGUUUGUUUGCAUGUUACUCCUUCCCUAUUAGAUUAUAACCUCCUGGAGGGUACCCAACUAUCUUGUGCCUUUAUUCAUAUACCCAGUGCCUGGCACAUAGAAAGUGCUUUAAACAUAUUUUUUAAAUUGAAUUCAGCUUUUGUUCCCAGUUUUAUUUCCUUGCUAAUCAAAAUAGAGUUUAAGGUUCAGCUUAAAACACCAGCCUCCGAAUAGCUCCUGUGGGUUUUGGGAAAGCACUGGACUCGGUUAUGAGGACAAAGAAUUCCAGUAAGAGAUGUAAAUGCAGUUAAAAGGAACUGCUUCUCUUUUCAACAAUGAGGUGAUUCAGGCCAAUUCCAAUGAACUUGUGAUGGAGAGAGCCAUCUGCAACCAGAGAGAGAAUUAUGGGGACAAAAUGUGGAUCACAACCUAGGAUUUUCACCUACUUUGUUGUUGGGACUUGGUUGUUUCUUUUCCUCUCAUUUUUUUUUCCUUUUUGAUCUGAUUUUUCUU
This is a long non-coding RNA of Sarcophilus harrisii (Tasmanian devil), 2358 nucleotides long. RefSeq lists it as uncharacterized. The transcript is spliced from 4 exons. The record is from RefSeq and is a predicted model, not a curated record. Lineage: Eukaryota; Metazoa; Chordata; Mammalia; Dasyuromorphia; Dasyuridae.